RNAcentral lists this ribosomal RNA (396 nucleotides) under Leptolyngbya sp. KW2. RNAcentral's name for it is "bacterial SSU rRNA". It matches the Rfam family "Bacterial small subunit ribosomal RNA", at positions 355 to 765 of the family's 1533-position model. The record is from RNAcentral. Lineage: Bacteria; Bacillati; Cyanobacteriota; Cyanophyceae; Leptolyngbyales; Leptolyngbyaceae.
UGGGGAAUUUUCCGCAAUGGGCGAAAGCCUGACGGAGCAAGACCGCGUGAGGGAGGAAGGCCUACUGGUUGUAAACCUCUUUUGAUAGGGAAGAAGAAAGUGACGGUACCUAUCGAAUCAGCAUCGGCUAACUCCGUGCCAGCAGCCGCGGUAAUACGGAGGAUGCAAGCGUUAUCCGGAAUUAUUGGGCGUAAAGCGUCCGUAGGUGGUUAUUCAAGUCAGCUGUCAAAGGAUGGAGCUUAACUCCAUAAAGGCAGUUGAAACUGUGUAGCUAGAGUGCGAUAGGGGCAAGGGGAAUUCCCAGUGUAGCGGUGAAAUGCGUAGAUAUUGGGAAGAACAUCGGUGGCGAAAGCGCCUUGCUGGGUCUGCACUGACACUGAGGGACGAAAGCUAGGG